UACGUAGGCAGCAAGCGUUGUUCGGAAUUACUGGGCGUAAAGAGUGUGUAGGCGGUGUUCUAAGUCUGUUGUGAAAUCUCCCGGCUUAACUGGGAGGGUGCGGCGGAAACUGGAAUGCUAGAGGAUGGGAGAGGUAAGCGGAAUUCCUGGUGUAGCGGUGGAAUGCGCAGAUAUCAGGAGGAACACCGGUGGCGAAGGCGGGUCUCUGGGCAGUAACUGACGCUGAGGAGCGAAAGCGUGGGGAGCGAACAGG
RNAcentral lists this ribosomal RNA (253 nucleotides) under uncultured bacterium. Its description in RNAcentral is "partial 16S ribosomal RNA". It matches the Rfam family "Bacterial small subunit ribosomal RNA", at positions 524 to 776 of the family's 1533-position model. The record is from RNAcentral.